UUCUCCCUGGGAAACGGGUGGUAAUGCCGGAUGCUCCAGUUGAUCGCAUGGUCUUCUGGGAAAGCUUUCGCGGUAUGGGAUGGGGUCGCGUCCUAUCAGCUUGACGGCGGGGUAACGGCCCACCGUGGCUUCGACGGGUAGCCGGCCUGAGAGGGCGACCGGCCACAUUGGGACUGAGAUACGGCCCAGACUCCUACGGGAGGCAGCAGUGGGGAAUAUUGCACAAUGGGCGCAAGCCUGAUGCAGCGACGCCGCGUGAGGGAUGGAGGCCUUCGGGUUGUAAACCUCUUUUAUCGGGGAGCAAGCGAGAGUGAGUUUACCCGUUGAAUAAGCACCGGCUAACUACGUGCCAGCAGCCGCGGUAAUACGUAGGGUGCAAGCGUUAUCCGGAAUUAUUGGGCGUAAAGGGCUCGUAGGCGGUUCGUCGCGUCCGGUGUGAAAGUCCAUCGCUUAACGGUGGAUCCGCGCCGGGUACGGGCGGGCUUGAGUGCGGUAGGGGAGACUGGAAUUCCCGGUGUAACGGUGGAAUGUGUAGAUAUCGGAAAAGAACACCA
Molecule: ribosomal RNA, 554 nt
Filed under: Bifidobacterium longum subsp. suillum
Lineage: Bacteria; Bacillati; Actinomycetota; Actinomycetes; Bifidobacteriales; Bifidobacteriaceae
Description: bacterial SSU rRNA
Rfam family: Bacterial small subunit ribosomal RNA
Source: RNAcentral